Molecule: long non-coding RNA, 1035 nt
Organism: Mandrillus leucophaeus (drill)
Lineage: Eukaryota; Metazoa; Chordata; Mammalia; Primates; Cercopithecidae
Exons: 4
Source: RefSeq, a predicted model, not a curated record
UCUACUACAGUGGCGGAGCCGUACAGGACCUGUUUCACUGCAGGGGGAUCCAAAACAAGCCCCGUGGAGCAGCAGCCAGAGCAACAGCAGCCGCAAGACAUUGUUUCUCUCCCUCUGCCCCCCCUUCCCCACGCAACCCCAGAUCCAUUUACACUUUACAGUUUUACCUCACAAAAACUACUACAAGCACCAAGCUCCCUGAUGGAAAGGAGCAUCGUGCAUCAAGUCACCAGGGUGGUCCAUUCAAGCUGCAGAUUUAUUUGUCAUCCUUGUACAACAGUCUCCUCCUCCACUGCCACUACAGGGAAGUGCAUCACGUGUCAGGUCACAGAACAGAAAGUGCUGGUGGACAUCUCUUCUUGCCCUAAGAUCUUCGUUGGAAGUCCUCGGGACUUGGUGUCUUUGCCGUUCAAAGUGUUUAUGAACUCGCCAGGAGGCAUAAUGUGUCACCAUUUUAUUCUGGGCCACCCUAAAGGAUGACACCCAGCUUCAGAGACCUCCUCUUGGACGACAUCCCUGAGAACCAAUGUUUUAGCCGUCCCAUAGUCUGACGUCUGUUUCCGACUGCUUUUGAGCUGGCGCAGGCUUAGUCAUUAAUGGCCAGGACGAUGUUAAAUGUUCUGCCUGAUUGGCUUGCAGCUACACACCUUUUGUCAUUUGUAGAGCAGCAACUCCCUCUUGAGCUCUUGGGGAGUCUUUACACAAAUACACUAGAAAAAAGGCACCCAUCCAUUUUUUUCCAUCUUGGCAUUAGCUCACAGGCAUAGUCCUGGGAUGACCUGGAGUAGAGGCAGUGGAGGAUAAAUUCAUCUUGCACAGACUUGUUUGUGCUAGUUCUAGCCUGUCUCUCGCCACAGAUCUAGCUUUUAAAUACUCAAGUGAUUGGUUUUGUGUAGGAAUGUGUGGAUUGUUGGAUUGGAAGAAUUUUCUCCCUGGAUUUCGAGUGUUUACAUAAGCAGAUAUAAAAAAAAUUUGAUCACUGAUUUAAAUAGCAGAGCUUAUUUUAAAAAGUUAUGGGUGUUUCAAGGUGGUACA